AGGCUGCAACUCGCCUACACGAAGCUGGAAUCGCUAGUAAUCGCGGAUCAGCACGCCGCGGUGAAUACGUUCCCGGGCCUUGUACACACCGCCCGUCACACCACGAGAGUUUACAACACCCGAAGUCAGUGGCCUAACCGCAAGGAGGGAGCUGCCUAAGGUGGGGUAGAUGAUUGGGGUGAAGUCGUAACAAGGUAUC
Molecule: ribosomal RNA, 199 nt
Filed under: uncultured bacterium
Lineage: Bacteria
Description: partial 16S ribosomal RNA
Rfam family: Bacterial small subunit ribosomal RNA
Source: RNAcentral